Molecule: ribosomal RNA, 1997 nt
Filed under: Curvibacter lanceolatus ATCC 14669
Lineage: Bacteria; Pseudomonadati; Pseudomonadota; Betaproteobacteria; Burkholderiales; Comamonadaceae
Description: bacterial LSU rRNA
Rfam family: Bacterial large subunit ribosomal RNA
Source: RNAcentral
GCUAAACAAACUUGGAAAUAGCUGGUUCUCUCCGAAAACUAUUUAGGUAGUGCCUCAAGUAUUACCGUCGGGGGUAGAGCACUGUUUAGGCUAGGGGGUCAUGGCGACUUACCAAACCUAUGCAAACUCCGAAUACCGACGAGUACAGCUUGGGAGACAGAGCACCGGGUGCUAACGUCCGGACUCAAGAGGGAAACAACCCAGACCGCCAGCUAAGGUCCCUAAAAUUGGCUAAGUGGGAAACGAAGUGGGAAGGCUAAAACAGUCAGGAUGUUGGCUUAGAAGCAGCCAUCAUUUAAAGAAAGCGUAAUAGCUCACUGAUCGAGUCGUCCUGCGCGGAAGAUGUAACGGGGCUAAGCCAGUUACCGAAGCUGCGGAUGUGCAAUUUAUUGCACGUGGUAGGAGAGCGUUCUGUAAGCCUGUGAAGGUGGGUUGUGAAGCCUGCUGGAGGUAUCAGAAGUGCGAAUGCUGACAUGAGUAGCGUUAAAGCGGGUGAAAAGCCCGCUCGCCGUAAGCGCAAGGUUUUCUACGCAACGUUCAUCGGCGUAGAGUGAGUCGGCCCCUAAGGCGAGGCAGAGAUGCGUAGUUGAUGGGAAACAGGUCAAUAUUCCUGUACCGAUGUGUAGUGCGAUGUGGGGACGGAGAAGGUUAACUCAGCCAACUGUUGGAUAUGUUGGUUCAAGCUUGUAGUCGUGCCUGGUAGGCAAAUCCGCCGGGCUUAGAUGAGGAGUGAUAACGAGGCUGCUUGCAGCCGAAGUGAGUGAUACCCUGCUUCCAGGAAAAGCCACUAAGCUUCAGCUACACACGACCGUACCGCAAACCGACACUGGUGCGCGAGAUGAGUAUUCUAAGGCGCUUGAGAGAACUCAGGAGAAGGAACUCGGCAAAUUGAUACCGUAACUUCGGGAGAAGGUAUGCCCCAAGUAGGUGAACUCGUACAGAGGGAGCCCAAAGGGGUUGCAAAAAAUCGGUGGCUGCGACUGUUUAAUAAAAACACAGCACUCUGCAAACACGAAAGUGGACGUAUAGGGUGUGACGCCUGCCCGGUGCUGGAAGAUUAAAUGAUGGGGUGCAAGCUCUUGAUUGAAGUCCCAGUAAACGGCGGCCGUAACUAUAACGGUCCUAAGGUAGCGAAAUUCCUUGUCGGGUAAGUUCCGACCUGCACGAAUGGCGUAACGAUGGCCACACUGUCUCCUCCUGAGACUCAGCGAAGUUGAAAUGUUUGUGAUGAUGCAAUCUCCCCGCGGAAAGACGGAAAGACCCCAUGAACCUUUACUGUAGCUUUGUAUUGGACUUUGAACAGAUCUGUGUAGGAUAGGUGGGAGGCUUUGAAGCGAGGUCGCUAGAUCUUGUGGAGCCAACGUUGAAAUACCACCCUGGUGUGUUUGAGGUUCUAACCUAGGUCCCUUAUCGGGAUCGGGGACAGUGCAUGGUAGGCAGUUUGACUGGGGCGGUCUCCUCCCAAAGUGUAACGGAGGAGUUCGAAGGUACGCUAGGUACGGUCGGACAUCGUGCUAAUAGUGCAAUGGCAUAAGCGUGCUUAACUGCGAGACUGACAAGUCGAGCAGAUGCGAAAGCAGGACAUAGUGAUCCGGUGGUUCUGUAUGGAAGGGCCAUCGCUCAACGGAUAAAAGGUACUCUGGGGAUAACAGGCUGAUACCGCCCAAGAGUUCAUAUCGACGGCGGUGUUUGGCACCUCGAUGUCGGCUCAUCUCAUCCUGGGGCUGUAGCCGGUCCCAAGGGUAUGGCUGUUCGCCAUUUAAAGAGGUACGUGAGCUGGGUUUAAAACGUCGUGAGACAGUUUGGUCCCUAUCUUCCGUGGGCGCUGCAGAUUUGAGGAAGCCUGCUCCUAGUACGAGAGGACCGGAGUGGACACACCUCUGGUGUAUCGGUUGUCACGCCAGUGGCAUUGCCGAGUAGCUAUGUGUGGAAGAGAUAACCGCUGAAAGCAUCUAAGCGGGAAACUCGUUUCAAGAUGAGAUCUGCCGGGGGCUUGA